Lamprotornis superbus is the source of this 76-nucleotide non-coding RNA. The record is from the annotation of a GenBank genome assembly. NCBI's taxonomy places the organism in Eukaryota, Metazoa, Chordata, Aves, Passeriformes, Sturnidae.
GGCUGAGAUUGGCUCAGCUGGUCAGAGCAUGGUGCUGAUAACAGCAAGAUUGUGGGUUUGAUCCCUCUAUGGGCCA